Molecule: ribosomal RNA, 600 nt
Filed under: Aspergillus sp. BAB-5666
Lineage: Eukaryota; Fungi; Ascomycota; Eurotiomycetes; Eurotiales; Aspergillaceae
Description: eukaryotic LSU rRNA
Rfam family: 5.8S ribosomal RNA (bases 216-369)
Source: RNAcentral
CUUCCGUAGGUGAACCUGCGGAAGGAUCAUUACCGAGUGUAGGGUUCCUAGCGAGCCCAACCUCCCACCCGUGUUUACUGUAACCUUAGUUGCUUCGGCGGGCCCGCCUUUAAGGCCGCCGGGGGGCAUCAGCCCCCGGGCCCGCGCCCGCCGGAGACACCACGAACUCUGUCUGAUCUAGUGAAGUCUGAGUUGAUUGUAUCGCAAUCAGUUAAAACUUUCAACAAUGGAUCUCUUGGUUCCGGCAUCGAUGAAGAACGCAGCGAAAUGCGAUAACUAGUGUGAAUUGCAGAAUUCCGUGAAUCAUCGAGUCUUUGAACGCACAUUGCGCCCCCUGGUAUUCCGGGGGGCAUGCCUGUCCGAGCGUCAUUGCUGCCCAUCAAGCACGGCUUGUGUGUUGGGUCGUCGUCCCCUCUUCGGGGGGGACGGGCCCCAAAGGCAGCGGCGGCACCGCGUCCGAUCCUCGAGCGUAUGGGGCUUUGUCACCCGCUCUGUAGGCCCGGCCGGCGCUUGCCGAACGCAAAACAACCAUUCUUUCCAGGUUGACCUCGGAUCAGGUAGGGAUACCCGCUGAACUUAAGCAUAUCAAUAAGCGGAGGA